Equus caballus (horse) is the source of this 1095-nucleotide non-coding RNA. NCBI's taxonomy places the organism in Eukaryota, Metazoa, Chordata, Mammalia, Perissodactyla, Equidae. The record is from RefSeq and is a predicted model, not a curated record.
AAGAAAUUUUGCAUGAAGUUUUUGGUAUGUCAUUUUCUUUUCUUGUAAUAUCUUUGUCAGGUUUUGGUAUUGGUGUAGCACCGGCCUCAUAAAACAAGAUGUGAACUGUCUUCUCCUUCUCUAUUUUCUGGAAAAGUCUGUAUGAUUGGUAUGAUUAUUGGUAUGAUUUCUUCCUUAAAUGUUUGGUAGAAACCUCUAGUAAAACCAGCUGGGCCUGGCAUUUUCUUUGUUUUUGAUAAUAAUUUCGAUUUCUUUAAUAGGUAUUAGGUUAUGCAAAUCUUCCAUUUCAUCUUGUAUUUGUUUUAAAGUAUAUGGACCAAGUGAAUUGAUCUCCUUAUCCCAGGACUCGACACUCUCAUGGCAGACACAUGCGCCCCUGGCUGUUUGUAUCCUUUUUAUUUUGAAAAUUUGUAUUUUUAAAAAUUUGGUUUGUCUUGACAUAAAAUCUCAAGAACUGUGGUUCUGGAUGAUCUGUAGUUUUAUUGAUUGUUUUUCUUCACCGCUUGUUUGUCUUCACUUCUGGUGAACUUUCAUUUGUAGUUCUUGCAUUCUAUCACCUCAUUUCUGAGUUUUUCUAAUACAUACUAUUAUUUUAUUUAUGUAAUAUUUUCUCAAUGUUUAUUCCUGUGUAGUAAAGAAUUAACUUUAUAGAAAGAAAGGUCUUGCCUUUGCCCUCGGCUCCUGAGAGGUGAUCACUAAGCCCUUAGAAUGUUCUGCCCGAUAAAUACCUUUGUUUACCUGACAGUAAACACCAUAUAGUCUAACAGUGUGAUUUAUGGUUGGAGUUUUGAGUUGUGCAGUAUGAGCUCAAAGUUUGCAAACUAAGGUCAGCCUGCAGACAGUCAACCAUAUUUAUGUGACUGAGCCCCAGUAGAAACUCUGGACAUCAAGGCUCAGGUGAGCUUCCCUGUUUGGCAGUACUCCAUGCUUAGUCACACGUUCUUGCUGGAAGAAGUCAGUAUUAUCUCUGGCUUCUCUGGGAGAGGACACUUGGAGGCUUUGCUCUUGGACCUUUGCUGGACUCUGCCCUGUGUGACUCUCCCCUUAACUUAAUCUGUAUGCUUUCACUGUAAUAAACUGUAACUGUGAUUGUAA